Rattus norvegicus (Norway rat) is the source of this 2497-nucleotide non-coding RNA. NCBI's taxonomy places the organism in Eukaryota, Metazoa, Chordata, Mammalia, Rodentia, Muridae. The record is from RefSeq and is a predicted model, not a curated record.
AGGACCUGUGGGGAUCGUUCUCAGUCAAAUCACCACAACCAGCACAGUUUUAUUCUGUCUGGGGUUUGUUUGUUUGAUUGCUUGGAAGGAUUUGGCUCCUCUGUAGAGCUUUCUGCUAAGAUAACCUUUAUUCAAAACUAUGAAGUCAGUACCACUGGAAUCAAGGUACUCGGGAUGGAAGAGGGAAAAGAGAAAUGCACUGAAGAACUUCUGGUGGUCUCCCAGCAGCUUCUUGCCACUUCUGAAGACUCGGGAUGAUUGGCAGAUCCUCGAGGUUUCUUCUGGAUCAAACCGCCAUUGCUGAGUUGUGAAUGGUGUUUGCAAGUGGAUUGAGCUACCACUGCUGAUUCGUGUGGACUGAACUGCUGAUAUCCUGACAAUGAAGAAUCACCCAAAAGAACUAGUUCUAGGGCUGGAGAGAUGGCUCAGUGUAAGAGCACUGACUGCUCUUCCAGAGUUCAAUUCUCAGCAACAACAUGGUGGCUCACAACCAUCUGUAAUGAGAUCUGAUGCCCUCUUCUGGUGUGUCUGAAGAUAGCUACAGUGUACUCAUAUACAUAAAAUAAAUAAGUAAUUCUUUAAAAAAAAAAAAAGAACUAAUUCUAAACAGGUGCACAUCUCCCUUUGCCCUAUUAACCUUUCCUUCCCACUACUUUCUGGUGGGUGGUGGGCUAGAAAGGAGGUUAAUGUGCAUAAGAAUACUUAUUAAAGUAGGUUUUAAAAACUAUAAACCUACACCUGUAAGGUAUUUUCUUAACUAGUGAUUGAUGGGAGAGGGCCCAGACUUCUGUGGGUGGUGCCAUCACUGGGCUGGUGGUGCUGAGUUCUAUGAGAAGGCAGGCUGAGCAAGCCACGGAUAGCAAGCCAGUAAGCAGCGCCCCUCCAUGGGUUCUGCAUCAGCUCCUGCCCUGCUUGAAUCUCUAUUCCCCACUUCCACCCCUUUCCCCUCUCCUCUCUCCCAUCCCUUUCCCCUCUCCGUUCUCCUACCUCGGUCCUGACUUCCUCAAAUGAUGAAGAACAAUGAUGUGGAAAUGUAAGACAAACCAACCCCUUCCUCCCCAAGUUGCUCUGGUCAUGGUGUUUCACCACAGCGACAGUAACCUUAGGUAGGACAUAUACACAUAAGCUUUAUUACAGUGGCUUACAGGCUGUGGUCCGGCUAGUUCAAUAGUGGUUUAGUCCACAAGAAUAGAUAUCUUUGUUGGGGUCCAGGAAUUGCCUCAAAAACCACACAAACCUGGUCUCAGUCAGACAGAGAUAAUCUAUUGAGCAUGCCUCAGGACUGGGGGACCAGGGUCAUGGUCCUGAUUUAGGAACUGAACCCCCCAGCAGUGAGUUAAGAUUCUACAGGGUUUUUAAGCCCAAAAAUCCACAAACAUCUAUGUGAAGUUAUUUCACCAAUCAAGAUUUAGGGAUAGAGGGUCUCCUUAGGAACACGUCUUAGUUGUAUGCUUAUCCUACUCCCACUGGUUGGGGUGUUCAACUGUGUCUGGUGACUUGCCUGUCUAAUAUUCAUGUCUUUUUUUGGGGGGGGGGUUCUUUUUUUCGGAGCUGGGGACCGAACCCAGGGCCUUGCGCUUCCUAGGCAAGCGCUCUACCACUGAGCUAAAUCCCCAACCCCCUAAUAUUCAUGUCUUAACUUGUCUAUCAGGAAGGGACUUGUCUAAUAUCCAUGUGUUAACUUGCCAACCAGGAUGUCAGUUACCUGUGUACAUGUCUCUUUCUGCCAGGUAGGAUGUCAGUUCCCAGGGAGGUCUUGGGAAUUUAAACUUUUUCAACUACUACUUAAAGUGGAAAUUUUAUUCCAAAUAGUUUCUUAUAUUGGUGCAGGUGUCUCUCUUGUGUUGGGGUUCAUCCCAGGGGCAGCUUAUACCAUAAAAGCUUAAACACAGGUGCAGGAAGCACUACUGGGUGGUUGACUUGAGUCCAACCUUUUGUAUACAAGAUAGUUCUACUGCCUUCUAUCUUGAUUUGUUUCCAAGGGCACAGAACAUAACAGAAUAUGUAAUCAGUCUUGGCAUUAGAAAGUUUCCUAGUAACAUCAGAAACAUAUGAGAAUGUUUCCUUACAAUGGCAGGCUAGCCAGGUAACAUUUUACCUAGACCUUAACAUUCCAUUGAGGCCUUAAUAUUUUACCUAGGUUCUAACAGUCUUAAGUUUAUGUGGGGACUCCAAAGAAGUGGGUUCUAACACCAGUGAAGGAAUGACUCAGGAACAGGACAGAUGAGCUUGCCACCAAGAAUGAGAGCAAGCAGGAAAAAGGCAAAACCUUCCUUCUUCUGUAUUCUUUUACAUAGACUACCAUCAGGAAGUGUGGCCAAGAUUUAGGGUGUGUGUCUUCCACCUCAAAUAAUCCAGUCAAGAAAAUCCCUCAGGUUUUCAUUGAUUACAUAAGUAAUGAAGAUCACUGAGGUCAUAUUUCGUCAUCAAUUUGGAAUGUCCUUAGAGUCUGUAAUUUGUAUAAAUAUUAAAUCUAUUUGAUAUUUGAACCAGAAAA